GGCAGUUCUUGGGUGAUGCACAUCAAAUUGGGCUUCCUACUCUCUAUUUUGGGUGUGUCACCUGAGAACCACA
Non-coding RNA from Myotis davidii, 73 nucleotides. The record is from Rfam. Lineage: Eukaryota; Metazoa; Chordata; Mammalia; Chiroptera; Vespertilionidae.